RNAcentral lists this ribosomal RNA (253 nucleotides) under uncultured bacterium. Its description in RNAcentral is "partial 16S ribosomal RNA". It matches the Rfam family "Bacterial small subunit ribosomal RNA", at positions 524 to 776 of the family's 1533-position model. The record is from RNAcentral.
UACGUAGGGUGCGAGCGUUAAUCGGAAUGACUGGGCGUAAAGGGUGCGCAGGCGGUUUUGUAAGACUGUCGUGAAAUCCCCGGGCUUAACCUGGGAAUGGCGAUGGUGACUGCAAGGCUAGAGUUUGGCAGAGGGGGGUAGAAUUCCACGUGUAGCAGUGAAAUGCGUAGAGAUGUGGAGGAACACCGAUGGCGAAGGCAGCCCCCUGGGUCAAGACUGACGCUCAUGCACGAAAGCGUGGGGAGCAAACAGG